ACAGCCCCGUACACAAAAGCGCAUGUGCUGUGAGCUCGAUGAGUAGGGCGGGACACGUGGUAUCCUGUCUGAAUAUGGGGGGACCAUCCUCCAAGGCUAAAUACUCCUGACUGACCGAUAGUGAACCAGUACCGUGAGGGAAAGGCGAAAAGAACCCCGGCGAGGGGAGUGAAAAAGAACCUGAAACCGUGUACGUACAAGCAGUGGGAGCCCCACCACCAAAGCAUUCUCUGGUGUUGAAGGCCCUGCAAAGCAGCAUCGCGGUGGCGGAGCGUCGUUUGCGACGCCCAACACACAAAACAAGCGGUGAGUGCUUUGGGGUGGGGUGACUGCGUACCUUUUGUAUAAUGGGUCAGCGACUUAUAUUCUGUAGCAAGGUUAACCGAAUAGGGGAGCCGGAGGGAAACCGAGUCUUAAUUGGGCGUUAAGUUGCAGGGUAUAGACCCGAAACCCGGUGAUCUAGCCAUGGGCAGGUUGAAGGUUGGGUAACACUAACUGGAGGACCGAACCGACUAAUGUUGAAAAAUUAGCGGAUGACCUGUGGCUGGGGGUGAAAGGCCAAUCAAACCGGGAGAUAGCUGGUUCUCCCCGAAAGCUAUUUAGGUAGCGCCUCGUGAAUUCAUCUCCGGGGGUAGAGCACUGUUUCGGCUAGGGGGCCAUCCCGGCUUACCAACCCGAUGCAAACUGCGAAUACCGGAGAAUGUUAUCACGGGAGACACACGGCGGGUGCUAACGUCCGUCGUGAAGAGGGAAACAACCCAGACCGCCAGCUAAGGUCCCAAAGUCAUGGUUAAGUGGGAAACGAUGUGGGAAGGCCCAGACAGCCAGGAUGUUGGCUUAGAAGCAGCCAUCAUUUAAAGAAAGCGUAAUAGCUCACUGGUCGAGUCGGCCUGCGCGGAAGAUGUAACGGGGCUAAACCAU
This 921-nucleotide ribosomal RNA is filed under the name Salmonella enterica subsp. enterica serovar Infantis. RNAcentral's name for it is "partial 23S ribosomal RNA". It matches the Rfam family "Bacterial large subunit ribosomal RNA", at positions 367 to 1190 of the family's 2925-position model. The record is from RNAcentral. RNAcentral also lists the same sequence under 1 other name. Lineage: Bacteria; Pseudomonadati; Pseudomonadota; Gammaproteobacteria; Enterobacterales; Enterobacteriaceae.